Molecule: long non-coding RNA, 4681 nt
Filed under: Geospiza fortis (medium ground-finch)
Lineage: Eukaryota; Metazoa; Chordata; Aves; Passeriformes; Thraupidae
Description: lncRNA (ENSGFOG00000008071.1)
Source: RNAcentral
CUGUCAGCCACCGGCUCCGAGGAGGACACCCACGACUCUGAUGACUCCAUCCCACGGAAGGGAGAGAGGAAGGCUGCGCUGCUGGGGAGAGAAGAGAGAGCCAUAAGCACAAGGAGCAGAAUUCCUCGCCCCAUCGUGCCGGUGAAAACGCCGCUGGAGGCGGUGAGGUUGGAGAGCUCCGUGGCUGCUGCUGUGGCAGGGCUGGGCAGCUCCCCACAGGAUGCAGCUGCUGCCUGCAGGCUUCAGACACAGAGACCAGCUGGGAGUGUCCCAUCUGAGGGCCGAACAACACAGGUACAAAGCCGGCUUCCUUCGUCACCGAGCUCCACUUCUCUUCCUCCACGGAGCAGCUCGCAGAGGCCCAGUGGUGCAUCCCCUCGGAGCCCCGUCCUUCCUUCCAGGAACCCCAGCACUUCCCCCAGAAGCCAGCUGCUGCCUCGGAGGGAAAGUCCUUCUCCCUGCCGACAGCACAAACCAGGGACUGCUCCUCAGCGAGUUCCUACUUCCCCCCGACCUCAGCCCUCAGCUCAGGCCCCGGGGCCUACAGGAGAUUCCCUGCCAUCUCCUGGCGUGGCCAAAAAACGACAAAGAGGAAAAACCCAGACUCAAAGUCCAGCAACCAAAGGAAAGCAGGUGUCCCUGGAAAGUAAGGCAGCUGCCAGAUAAUGACCUUCCUCUGCGAGCCCAGCAGACUGGGUAACUUCUGCAUAUAGUAUACACUUGAGAUGCUGCAGCACAGCCUUCCAUGCUGGACCCACGAGUGUAUAGCAGUAGCUGUACUUGAAUGCUUCACUCACUCUCACCCCACACUGCAAUCAGCUCCCACGGGCCUGGCAGCCUCUGAGCCACGGAGCCUUUCCAAGGGAGACCCCCGCAGCUCACGCUUGCUAACGCACAGCACCCAGCCGUGACCCAGUGCCUGACCUGCCUCCCUCCCCAGGGAUUCUCCUCCCCGUUAGCAAUACCAGUCCUCAACACCGACUCCAGCUGUGGAAGGAGGAGCAGAGGUGACAAGAGCAAGGCCUGCUAAAGAGGAAGGCUCCUGUCCUUCAGGCAGCUCCUUCCUUUCUCCUUGCUGGGAAAACACCAGCCUUGGUCUCUGCCAUUUCCCUGAGUGUUGGCUCACCUCCCACCGCCUGUGUUAGCAAGGGAUUGCCACUAGCUUAUUCAAGAGGGAUGGAUGCAUCCUUGUGUGCUAAGAGAAGGGGUAAGGAGGGGAGGGCUCUUCUCUCCUUUUCAGAGGUGCCUCUACAGGUGGGAAUUGGGAGACAGGCAGGUCUUGCUGGAUGCUCCCACCUGCUCCAGUAUGUCCCACAGAGGAGGCUGUCUGGCAUUGCUUCUCAGACACUGCUGCUGUUUCAGCAGAUGCCUCUGUGGUGGGUGCUUAGGUGGAAGUAGAGAUGUGUUGGCAGCUUGCUGGGAAAUCAGGAGUUCUUGCUAAUUAAUGUAGAAGGGAGCACACUGCAGCCACAUCUGUCACAAAUACCAAACUGUGAUCUGUGGACAUCACAUCCCCCAGCAAGGGAGGUUCCUCUCAGCCUGGGCAUGGUUGGUGCCACAGACCUGCAGUGCACCAAACACAGCUCCAUUGUGAGGAUGUGGAUAGUCACUGGAUGCCUUUAGCCUGGGUGCCCCUUGCACCUGAAUUCCUUGUGUUUUAUUGUCACACUCUUGGUGUUUGUGAAUUUUGGCACUGUGGUUGAAAGUUCCCCUACAGGGCAGGGUGGGAAAUGAUUAUCCUGUGGCGUACCCAAAACCUGCUGCUUUGCAAUGAGAGGUUUGCUGGCAUGCCAUGGCCAUGGCAUUUCUAUCUGAGGGGACAGUGGCUUGAGGGGCAGAGGUGGGGUUUAUGUCUUUUCCUUGAUGCUCACCUCUGCCACGCGUUGAGGAUGAACAAUGUGAACGUAAAAGCAAGGGCUGUGCUCUUCAAAUAAUAUUAUCUGAGCAUAAGCUAACACUCAGCUAGAGCUAAAUCAACCGACUGUUUAGCCCCCAGACUAAUUAGGAAGGCUUGAAAGUGAAAGCAAGGAGGGCUGGUACCUGUCUGAUCUUGAUGAGAUCUUGAAGUAGACAAAAUUCUCCCCACACCUCACAGAAGAAAACACUCCAGACCCAAAUACUUUGUGCUUCACACCAUUGUCAUGCCUAAAAGAGGCACUGCAUGAGACAGAACAAAAAUACAGCUGCUCUGUACACCUAUUCCUGCAGUUGCAACUACCUGCAAAUUUACUAUUUGCAGACAACAAAGCUUGACAGAGGAAUCUGAACAGUAAUGACCUUGAUUCAUUUGAACAUGAAUGCAAACAGUCACACACUGAUGGCCAUCAAGUUCAAGGAAUCCCGAAGCUGCUCAUAUCUGCAGGAGUCCUGGAAAGGAGGAUGAGAGCUGUGACAGGGUGUCAGGGAGAAAAUCCUUGCACACCUGAACAGGGAAAUGUGUAGAAACAGGAGACAGGAAUUACCCCUUCACGUAACAGUCUCAGUGUUGCCAACACUAAGAAUUCAUUUCACCCAGCUCAGAGUGUUUUCCAUUGAUUUCCAAACAUGCCCUCAUCUUUGCAGAGCAGCACUGGGAACUCAGAGGGAGCUCAGCCUGUGGUCUGAUGGACUGAGCUGAUGUUGCCAUCAAAAGCAACAUCCCUCCAAGUUCCAGCUGUUUUUGUGGCACAGUUCCACCACAUUUACAGUGCAGCAGCAAUUUGAUAAAUGGCUGGAAAUGCUGAUCCAGCACAACACAAACUGCUCUGAUUCACCAGUUUCUUUUUCAUCUGGUUCAUUUCAUCACUCUGGUUCACCAUUUGGUCCCACAACAGAAGAAGGACGCACAGAGACUGUGACCACUUCUUCUGGUGGCAUUAAAACUUUGUCUGAGUUUGAAGUGUGGGUCAGACUAGAACCUAAGUAUGCGCUGCAGGUUUAGAAACUAGAAAACAGAAUAAACUCAAAGACAGAUUCUUUCCAGAAAUAUAAAUCAUAAUGGGACUCCUAUUAAUUUAUUGAAGGUCUAUUAAUUUUAGAGUACUUAGAUGGUAAGACUUGGUUGUGAAGCUUUUACCAGUUGGUCCAUCCAUGUCUUAAUGCACAUGCCAAAAAUGACAUUGAAAGAGCUUUGAAAGAGGACUACAGGAUUAUUAACAGGGUUAGCAAACCUGCCUGAUCAUGGGAAGCCAAUAAAGCACAAUCAGUGUAUUUGUUCAGGAAAAAGUUUAAGGGACAGUUUUCUGUGGCCCAAUGUCAGAAAGGAAACUCCAGGGCAGACACAAGGCUGGGUUGGACAGGGCACUGAGCAUCCUGGUCUAGUGGAAGGUGUCCUUGCCCAUAGCAAGGGGCUGAAACUAGAUGGUCUUUAAAGUCCCUUCCAACCCAAACCAUUCUCUGGUUCUGUGGUCUUCCUCUGGCUCAUGAAAGCAGGGAAGUCAGAACAGCCAAGAACAGCAGAUGAAGAAAUUGGGCAGGCUUUUAAUUGUGAAGCAACCAUCCAGUGAAGUCUUUCACAGGACUGUGGGGACUUUCUUUAUUAAAAGGUUUCUGUGAAACUGAGCUGUCUUCUAAGAGGUCUAUCUACCAUGACCCCACCACAAGAAGCAGGCAGGAUUCUGGUGGCACCAAGGUACCAUCUCCCUCUGUGGUGCAGCAGAUUCCUGGUCCCACUGGGAUAUAUGCCAAAGCUGGGAUAUACUGGAGAGCCACCUGGCAGGUCCCACAGGUUUCAGAAAGCAAGGGAAAGAUGGCCAGCACAGCUGGACAUCAGGCACAGGUCUAUGCUGAACUGAGCAAGAGUAAUAGAUCUGAAUGGCUCCAAACCCAGUGGUGUAUUAUGCUUUUUGCCCCUGAAAUUUUUGCUUCAGACAAUUUUUUAAUAAUAAUUUUUCUUUUGUUUUAAUCUGGUUGCAAGGAAAUUAAAAAUAUAAGUAAAUAGAUAUUCCAUGUUACAGAAAUUAAAGUUUACAUUGAAAGGAACUCUUGGAAAUCAACUUGUCCAAUUUUCUAUUGAAAAUGAGACCCUGGAUUAGAUUAUGUGGGCCUGUGUCAAGAUGAGCCUUCAGUGUCUCCAGCAAGGAAGAUUCCACCACUUCCAUGAUUUAGUGAAUCAAAGAAUAGUUGAGGCAAGAUGGGACUUCUGGAGGUCACCAACAAAGCUGUUCACAGUGUUGUCUGACAGGGCUGGGCUGAAGGUGCAGCUGGGUCCGUAGAGAUCUGAGACCAGCAUGGGCCAUCUCUCCUCGUGGUUGUGCUGCCAGGCUCCCUGCUCCUGCACAGCCCUGCUUCCCAGCUGUCCCUGGCAUGAGGGGCAGCAGGAAAGUGCAUGGUGUGCCCCAGGCCAUGUCCUCCUGGAUGGGGAUGCUCCCAUCUGGGGGACCAGCACACACAGAAUUUCCUCUGGGUCCUCUCUUCUUCUGCUGCCCUGCAGGAAGGUUGGAAGGGCACCCCGCCAUAGCUGGAGCAAACAGAGGAGAACAUGUCUGGGGACAAGAAGGCCUGUGAUGUUAGGGAGAGGUUAGGUGGUUGAGGAAUGCCAGAGGAUCUAGUGUGGCAUCACAGGACGUGGUGGGCUGUCACAUCCCAGACAGGUGGGAGAGGCAAGGCCCUGUUGCUCUCUGCUGUGAGUCUGGUGCAAGCUCUGCCAAGCUCGAGGGCACACAGGGCUGCUCAAGCACUGCUGGGGUGUGUGGCUGUGUCC